RNAcentral lists this ribosomal RNA (268 nucleotides) under uncultured Acholeplasma sp. RNAcentral's name for it is "partial 16S ribosomal RNA". It matches the Rfam family "Bacterial small subunit ribosomal RNA", at positions 1113 to 1382 of the family's 1533-position model. The record is from RNAcentral. Lineage: Bacteria; Bacillati; Mycoplasmatota; Mollicutes; Acholeplasmatales; Acholeplasmataceae.
AGUUACCAUCAUUAAGUUGGGGACGUCUAGCGAGACUGCCAGUGAUAAACUGGAGGAAGGUGGGGAUGACGUCAAAUCAUCAUGCCCCUUAUGACCUGGGCUACAAACGUGAUACAAUGGCUGGAACAAAGGGAUGCGAAGCAGUGAUGUGGAGCGAAACCCAUAAAACAGUCUCAGUUCGGAUUGAAGUCUGCAACUCGACUUCAUGAAGUCGGAAUCGCUAGUAAUCGCGGAUCAGAACGCCGCGGUGAAUACGUUCUCGGGGUUU